CUCAGAGUGACCAGAAGAGGGCGCUACUUAGUGCAGCGCAUCAGACGUUACAUUUAUCUUUUAAAUAUUUAUUUUCACAAAAUACAUGAAUGCAAUAUUCUAGAAUACAAAUGUUUUCACAUAUGAUGCGCUACUCUAACAAAAUCCGUUACGUCAUAAAACAUAAGAUUUUUAACAUCAAGAAUUAGGCUAUAUGAUGAACAUGAAUGAUAUUCAGUUCACAAAAGUUGUCACGGAGGGCGUUUCUAGCCUUUGAUAAAUUGUGUUUGCUUUUUGAUUUCGUUGGGCUGUGCACUACUGAGCAACCAUAAGUUUAAGCUUUCAAACCAGUUGUCCGCUGAAUGAAUGAGUGUUUUGGGGAAUCAGAGAGAAGCAGUCUGAUAAACCUGGACUUUCUGAAACCAUGAUAUCACAGAACAUCUGGAGCCCACACAAGGUCACUGAAGGGUCCAGGACAUCGUUUGAACUCCAUAUAAGGGCACUGCCAGCUGGGGGACAUUCCAUGUGCAGACUGAUGGUAGAAAACACAUCCUCUCUUACCGUCUGCAUCUGAGUGUGUGUUUCUCAUCAUGAGGCAUGAGACACGAUUGCAACACUGAAUGCUUUUACAAAUGUCACGUUUGCUUUCUACAAGGAAAGUGGUUCUGAGUUCGGGCUGUUUGGAGUGAUAAAGUGUGUUCGUGUGUGAAUGAGGCGUAGCAUCUGUUCUUUUUUGGAUAAACAAAACACGUCUGAUGUGUGCGGCAUCUUCCAAAACGUCUGGUUCCCUGUGAUAUGAAGUUACAUGUUGUGAUACCUUAUCUACAAUUAAAUAUCUUC
Molecule: long non-coding RNA, 819 nt
Organism: Carassius carassius (crucian carp)
Lineage: Eukaryota; Metazoa; Chordata; Actinopteri; Cypriniformes; Cyprinidae
Exons: 3
Source: RefSeq, a predicted model, not a curated record